Molecule: transfer RNA, 75 nt
Rfam family: tRNA
About the family: Transfer RNA (tRNA) molecules are approximately 80 nucleotides in length. Their secondary structure includes four short double-helical elements and three loops (D, anti-codon, and T loops). Further hydrogen bonds mediate the characteristic L-shaped molecular structure. tRNAs have two regions of fundamental functional importance: the anti-codon, which is responsible for specific mRNA codon recognition, and the 3' end, to which the tRNAs corresponding amino acid is attached (by aminoacyl-tRNA synthetases). tRNAs cope with the degeneracy of the genetic code in two manners: having more than one tRNA (with a specific anti-codon) for a particular amino acid; and 'wobble' base-pairing, i.e. permitting non-standard base-pairing at the 3rd anti-codon position.
GCCGGCGUAGCUCAAGGGAAGAGCGGCGUCCUUUUAAGUCGUUCGAUGCGAGUUCGAAUCUCGCCGCCGGUCCCA